Molecule: ribosomal RNA, 468 nt
Filed under: uncultured bacterium
Lineage: Bacteria
Description: partial 16S ribosomal RNA
Rfam family: Bacterial small subunit ribosomal RNA
Source: RNAcentral
GACGAACGCUGGCGGCGUGCUUAACACAUGCGAGUCGAACGGAAAGGCCCUGCUUUUGUGGGGUGCUCGAUUGGCGAACGGGUGAGUAACACGUGAGUAACCUGCCCUUGACUUUGGGAUAACUUCAGGAAACUGGGGCUAAUACCGGAUAGGAGCUCCUGCUGCAUGGUGGGGGUUGGAAAGUUUCGGCGGUUGGGGAUGGACUCGCGGCUUAUCAGCUUGUUGGUGGGGUAGUGGCUUACCAAGGCUUUGACGGGUAGCCGGCCUGAGAGGGUGACCGGCCACAUUGGGACUGAGAUACGGCCCAGACUCCUACGGGAGGCAGCAGGGGGGAAUAUUGCACAAUGGGCGGAAGCCUGAUGCAGCAACGCCGCGUGCGGGAUGACGGCCUUCGGGUUGUAAACCGCUUUCGCCUGUGACGAAGCGUGAGUGACGGUAAUGGGUAAAGAAGCACCGGCUAACUACGUG